Molecule: ribosomal RNA, 465 nt
Filed under: uncultured Klebsiella sp.
Lineage: Bacteria; Pseudomonadati; Pseudomonadota; Gammaproteobacteria; Enterobacterales; Enterobacteriaceae
Description: bacterial SSU rRNA
Rfam family: Bacterial small subunit ribosomal RNA
Source: RNAcentral
CCUACGGGCGGCUGCAGUGGGGAAUAUUGCACAAUGGGCGCAAGCCUGAUGCAGCCAUGCCGCGUGUGUGAAGAAGGCCUUCGGGUUGUAAAGCACUUUCAGCGGGGAGGAAGGCGUUAAGGUUAAUAACCUUGUCGAUUGACGUUACCCGCCGAAGAAGCACCGGCUAACUCCGUGCCAGCAGCCGCGGUAAUACGGAGGGUGCAAGCGUUAAUCGGAAUUACUGGGCGAAAAGCGCACGCAGGCGGUCUGUCAAGUCGGAUGUGAAAUCCCCGGGCUCAACCUGGGAACUGCAUUCGAAACUGGCAGGCUAGAGUCUUGUAGAGGGGAGUAGAAUUCCAGGUGUAGCGGUGAAAUGCGUAGAGAUCUGGAGGAAUACCGGUGGCGAAGGCGGCCCCCUGGACAAAGACUGACGCUCAGGUGCGAAAGCGUGGGGAGCAAACAGGAUUAGAUACCCGAGUAGUC